Clupea harengus (Atlantic herring) is the source of this 877-nucleotide long non-coding RNA. RefSeq lists it as uncharacterized. NCBI's taxonomy places the organism in Eukaryota, Metazoa, Chordata, Actinopteri, Clupeiformes, Clupeidae. The record is from RefSeq and is a predicted model, not a curated record.
GAGGUUCCUGGACCAUAGCCAGCAGCCUAUCCUCCAAUGACACUGCAGGUGCUGAGGCCCUCUUGCGCGCGGCAGGUUUGGAAAACAAUGACCUACCCUGCUGGUUGAAAAUGUUGAUCUGGUUGGGAGUGUUGGUCGUUUUUAUCCCGCACAUCCUCUCCAUGGCUCAGGUCCAAUGCCUCCCGAUCUUCAACGUCAACCUGGUCAAGGCUGCUUCUAGAGCUAAAACAUAAAUUAAAUGCACAGAUUCCUUGCCACCGGAGAGUCCUUUAGGAGUCUGGCUUUUGCCUACAGGCUAGGACGCAAAACUGUGGCAGACUCUGUCUAGAUGACAUGUAGGGCAAUUUUCAUCAAGAGGAUGGAGACCCAAAUGCCGAGACCAACCGAGGCAGCAUGGAGAGAUAUAGCAGAGCGCUUUUGGGGAAGAUGGCAAUUCCCAAAUUGCAUCGGAGCCAUAGACGGGAAACACAUAGUCAUCCAAGCUCCAAAAAAAGUAAUGUAGCCAGUUUUAAUUUUAAUUAUAAAAAAAAAACAUUCUCAAUCAUCUUGUUGGCACUAAUGGAUGCAGAUUCAAGAUUUAGAAUUGUUGAAGUUGGCGAUUUUGGCCGUGCUAGUGACGGUGGGGUGUUCGCCAAUUCAGCACUGGGGAGGGGAAUGAAUGAAAAAAGUUGAAAUGUGCCAGAAGACGCCCCCCCCUGCCUGAAUAAGGUCAGCACGGUGACGUGCCUUUCAUGAUGAUAGGGGAUGCUGCGUUUCCUUUAAAACGCUACCUCAUGAGACCCUACCCUGGCAGCAACCUUUCAAGGCCAAAGAAGAACAUUAUUACAGGCUAUCAAGGGCAAGAAUGACUGUGGAGUGUGCGUUGGGCAUUCAAGAA